Musa acuminata AAA Group (dessert banana) is the source of this 370-nucleotide long non-coding RNA. RefSeq lists it as uncharacterized. The transcript has 2 exons. The record is from RefSeq and is a predicted model, not a curated record. Lineage: Eukaryota; Viridiplantae; Streptophyta; Magnoliopsida; Zingiberales; Musaceae.
AUGCUUGUCUCUGUUUCUUCAUUUCCACAUUUUACCUGGUUUUCGUUUCUUUUGCUAUUUUUCUGCAACUAAGCCCUGGAAGCUGGAUAAGAGUCUGACAACUUUGACUAUAGGCACAAAACUGCUCCCAUUCCAGGAAUUAGCUUAGCCAAAGACUGCUCCGAACAAAGAAAAGAGAUUUUGCUUCUUGGGCUGCAGGAUUGUGCCCAGGUCAUUAGCCAUGUUCUUGGUGAUGCUGAUCUUAGAGUUUUGGCAUGGAUGUUCUUGACUAGAAUAAUUUGUCUUAUAUGACUUCUCAUGAAAUGUUCAUGUCAAGAUGGAUUAGUAUUCCUGUAGUUGAAAUUUUUUUAUGAGGUCUUACAUUGCUUGA